AACAUUUGAAUUUCAGAUCUUGUGUGGUGUUAACCAAGUUUGAGCACCAGCAUUCCUAAUGUGCAUUGGCCAAUAUCCUGUCUUCUGCUCAUAUAUGUCAAUUUUAGCUGUUUUCCAGAUUUCUCAGUGAAGAAAUGUAAAAGCCCAAGCUCACUAGGGAACUGGACAUGUGAAAAACCCUCCAACCUGAAACACUGGGGAUAUUGGUGAUCUAAAGCCUCUGAGCCUGGAUUGUAAUCCCUCUAUCCUCUUGCCGAUUCCCUUAAUCUCAGCACUUCAGUCAGUCGGAAGCUGCCACGAGAGGACAAGAUUUUCCUGGCCACAGAUGCUUUUGGAGUUUCCCUUCUACAGAAGAAUUUCAGGCAGGUUUCCAACAUCUUACAGCGACAAUUCAACUUUGUCCCUGGCAUGUAAGAUUCUUCCAUGGUCCAAAUGACGAAGACAUCCCUGGAGCAAGGUUUCAUCCAAAUUGUGCCAUAUCAUGAGAACAUUUAAGAAGCCCAAGGAGUGGUACACAUAGCAAGCAACUAAGGCCUCCUUCCAAGAGCCAGCAAGGACCUGAGUCCUCCAGCCAACAGCCAUAUGACUGAGCCAUCUUGCAAGCAUUAUGCAGCCCUAGUCCAGCCUUCAGAUGACUACAGCCCUGGCCAGCACAUCCUGACCAACUCAUGAGAGCUCCUGAGCCAGAACCACCCACCUAAAUCACUACCACAUUCUUGACCCUCAGAAACUGUAUGAGUGUUCAGUUGACAUUCACCUGAACUGCCUUACAGAGGAAGUCUCUAGAUGAUGCUAAGGAAGAGCAAUGAUUCAGGACUCAUUCAAGCUGCACUGCAGGAGGAUGCUGGUGGAAGCCAGCAUAUAAAAUGAGAAAAGUGUGGAACUGAGAUAGACUACAGGCAUGAAAGAAUAGAAGCACCAAAGUUCACUCAGCAGAGCAGAGAAUGAUCUGGACAGAGGAUUUCCUGUGCCAGAGUAGCUAUUUCCAUUGGAUCGGUUGGCUCUCAUUCGUCAUCAUCUAAUUAGUCCAUAUGCCCUCGGCUUGGACCAUCUUCUAUUACCAGGACCUGCUUCAUGGAUGUGCGACCAGUGCCGGCACUUGGGGUUUAAUGCUCUGUAAUUGCCAUCUUGAAAUUCUUAACAAUUUAAUCUUUGAACUUGUGCUAUGUAACUGAAGUCUGAUGGAGCAAUGGAGUAUGGCCAGUGGCUGGGAGCCUUGGUUCAGGUGGGGUUCUGUCUCCUCCCGCCUCAGUGUCUCCCCAGGACAGAUGCUCAGGCACCUGCUCCCUGCUCCUCCCAGCAACCACCUUGUUGCCUCGACCUCCAGUGGGGGCCUUGGUGUGGGUGCUGGGAUGGUUGGCAUUGGGAGGCAUCCCAUGUGCCCAGUGGUUGGGUGGGGUUAUGAGGUCUUCACUCUGCCAAGAGAGUGC
RNAcentral lists this long non-coding RNA (1430 nucleotides) under Equus caballus (horse). RNAcentral describes it as "lncRNA (ENSECAG00000031176.3)". The record is from RNAcentral. Lineage: Eukaryota; Metazoa; Chordata; Mammalia; Perissodactyla; Equidae.